Long non-coding RNA from Thunnus maccoyii (southern bluefin tuna), 855 nucleotides. RefSeq lists it as uncharacterized. Lineage: Eukaryota; Metazoa; Chordata; Actinopteri; Scombriformes; Scombridae. The record is from RefSeq and is a predicted model, not a curated record. The transcript has 3 exons.
ACUGAAUGCACCGAGACCAGGACAACUCCCUGCUGUGUGUGUCUACUAUGUGGCCUCAACUAAGUCUGAGACUGGAUUCACCCUCCUGAAAGCAGUGAACCAAAGUGCUUCACUUAACCUGCUGCAGCUUUCUCAUCUGGCUGUCACUCUGGCAACCCAAGGAUCCCCAAGUCUGCUUCGCCUUGUUCAGCGCUUUCCGGGAAGUUCAUCUCCCCAUCAGCCAUUCAUCACCACAGAAACAGUCGUACCACAUGGGGUGGUGUUUAUCUGUCGCUACGAGUUGAGUCAUUGCCGGGUACUGAGCAGGCCAUUCUAUAAUGGACAAGAUGGAAAUGUGAUCAACAAUUUAUAAACAAGAGAGAGAGAUUAAGUCGAAAUCAAUUCUUAGAGUUUAGGGAGGGUGAAGCACCAUCCAGAUCAAAUUUAUGAAUAAAAGUGACAAGUUCCCCAUCAAAAGUCACACAUUCUCAGUAUGUGAAUGAGACCAAGGCUACCUGCAGUAUGAAGAAGUACUUUAAAUGCUGCACGCUCAAGCUGAUUACACAGCCCUGCAAGACAUAACGUUAAGUCAGAGGAACGACUGUAGAACAUCUGUCUCCGUGGCAUUUAGUCCCUUCUGUGUUCUUCAUGACAGUUAUCAGCUUAUUGAUGUAGAGAGGAGAUUCUGAUGCUUAACUAUGGUUAUCUAAAUACUGUAUUAAACAGAUUUCUUAAGCAUACUAGAAUCUUUGACUCCUGCUAUAAAAUUCCUUACAUGUCAGCCUGCACUGCAUCUCUCAGAGGGACUUGUAAAAAUAUCAACUGUUUAUGAUAUUUGAUUAUUAUGCUUCAUUUAUGAUGAAGAAAAGUCAUGGA